Molecule: ribosomal RNA, 253 nt
Filed under: uncultured bacterium
Lineage: Bacteria
Description: partial 16S ribosomal RNA
Rfam family: Bacterial small subunit ribosomal RNA
Source: RNAcentral
UACGUAGGGGGCAAGCGUUGUCCGGAAUUAUUGGGCGUAAAGAGCGCGUAGGCGGUCCGAUAAGUCGGCUGUGAAAGUCAAGGGCUCAACCCUUGGAAGCCGGCCGAUACUGUCGGACUAGAGUCCGGAAGAGGCGAGUGGAAUUCCCGGUGUAGCGGUGAAAUGCGCAGAUAUCAGGAGGAACACCGAUUGCGAAGGCAGCUCGCUGGAACGUUACUGACGCUGAGACGCGAAAGCGUGGGGAGCAAACAGG